UACCAGCACCCCGAGUGGUCGGGACGAUUAUUGGGCCUAAAGCAUCCGUAGCCGGUACUGCAAGUCUUCCGUUAAAUCCACCUGCUCAACAGUUGGGCUGCGGGGGAUACUACAGCGCUAGGAGGCGGGAGAGGCAAGCGGUACUCAGUGGGUAGGGGUAAAAUCCAUUGAUCUACUGAAGACCACCAGUGGCGAAGGCGGCUUGCCAGAAUGCGCUCGACGGUGAGGGAUGAAAGCUGGGGGAGCAAACAGG
RNAcentral lists this ribosomal RNA (253 nucleotides) under uncultured bacterium. RNAcentral's name for it is "partial 16S ribosomal RNA". It matches the Rfam family "Archaeal small subunit ribosomal RNA", at positions 474 to 727 of the family's 1478-position model. The record is from RNAcentral.